RNAcentral lists this ribosomal RNA (253 nucleotides) under uncultured Pseudomonas sp. RNAcentral describes it as "partial 16S ribosomal RNA". It matches the Rfam family "Bacterial small subunit ribosomal RNA", at positions 99 to 355 of the family's 1533-position model. Lineage: Bacteria; Pseudomonadati; Pseudomonadota; Gammaproteobacteria; Pseudomonadales; Pseudomonadaceae. The record is from RNAcentral.
CGGACGGGUGAGUAAUGCCUAGGAAUCUGCCUGGUAGUGGGGGACAACGUUUCGAAAGGAACGCUAAUACCGCAUACGUCCUACGGGAGAAAGCAGGGACCUUCGGGCCUUGCGCUAUCAGAUGAGCCUAGGUCGGAUUAGCUAGUUGGUGAGGUAAUGGCUCACCAAGGCGACGAUCCGUAACUGGUCUGAGAGGAUGAUCAGUNCACACUGGAACUGAGACACGGUCCAGACUCCUACGGAGGCAGCAGCC